GACGAACGCUGGCGGCGUGCUUAACACAUGCAAGUCGAACGGAAAGGCCCUGCUUUUGUGGGGUGCUCGAGUGGCGAACGGGUGAGUAGCACGUGAGUAACCUGCCCUUGACUUUGGGAUAACUUCAGGAAACUGGGGCUAAUACCGGAUAGGAGCUCCUGCUGCAUGGUGGGGGUUGGAAAGUUUCGGCGGUUGGGGAUGGACUCGCGGCUUAUCAGCUUGUUGGUGGGGUAGUGGCUUACCAAGGCUUUGACGGGUAGCCGGCCUGAGAGGGUGACCGGCCACAUUGGGACUGAGGUAGGGCCCAGACUCCUACGGGGGGCAGCAGUGGGGAAUAUUGCACAAUGAGCGGAAGCCUGAUGCAGCAACGCCGCGUGCGGGAUGACGGCCUUCGGGUUGUAAACCGCUUUCGCCUGUGACGAAGCGUGAGUGACGGUAAUGGGUAAAGAAGCACCGGCUAACUACGUG
This 468-nucleotide ribosomal RNA is filed under the name uncultured bacterium. Its description in RNAcentral is "partial 16S ribosomal RNA". It matches the Rfam family "Bacterial small subunit ribosomal RNA", at positions 28 to 507 of the family's 1533-position model. The record is from RNAcentral.